AUUUAUUGCCGAUGUAAACUUUGCUUUUCAGUGCAGCUGCUUGGGUACUACGAGCGAGUGCUUAAAACUCAAAGAACUUGGCGGCUUGUUAACUACCUAGGGGAAUAUGCGCCUUAAUCCGAUGAUCCCCGUCAUAUCUUACUGAGUCUUGAAAAAGUGCAGCUGGUGUAUUGCCGUUGUCAGCUUGUUGUUCGAGCAAAGAGAAACAGGCUUAAUGGAUCCCGGUGAUAAUCUUCAUGGGAAUCCAUGAAUUCAGGUCGUAAUACUGCCUAUGGCUCAAGGGAGCGGGUGUUACAAUUCAUAUUUGGAAUUACGGAUCCUCAUUGUGGAAUCUUGGGGUGAAGGUGAACUUAGGAGUAAGGAGAGAUUAAUGUGCUUUCCUGAACAUGAAUCUAACUCGUGUACAAACUGCCCGUCGCUCUCGGCGAGAGCUGAGAU
RNAcentral lists this ribosomal RNA (438 nucleotides) under Pecten jacobaeus. Its description in RNAcentral is "partial 12S ribosomal RNA". It matches the Rfam family "Bacterial small subunit ribosomal RNA", at positions 874 to 1419 of the family's 1533-position model. Lineage: Eukaryota; Metazoa; Mollusca; Bivalvia; Pectinida; Pectinidae. The record is from RNAcentral.